GUAUCCACACCCAUGUCUCCAUCAGGUUGCCACCUUGCCAGUCCAAAAUCACCAACCUUGCAUAUUUUAGCACAAUUCAUUACUGUUAGAAAAUGAAGUGCACAUUUGAUGCACCUGGAAACACACUUCAGAUUCACGGCCUUCGUCUUUUGAAGGCAGAGAACUAACGUACCAGAGGUUCAAAAUCAUGAGUUAUGAGAAUAUUGUUUGGCCUCAUGUCACGGUGGAUGAUACAACCUACUCUGCACUCUUCAUGAAGAUACCUUAACCCACGAGCAGCUCCAACAGCAAUUUUCUGCCGUGCGGACCAUUCUAAUGGAUCCCUUUGCCGCCCUGAUGGAUCAAUAUGCAAUCGAGUAAAAUGUAUUUGAGAAAACGGUUAUGGA
RNAcentral lists this long non-coding RNA (386 nucleotides) under Medicago truncatula (barrel medic). RNAcentral describes it as "lncRNA gene45265". The record is from RNAcentral. Lineage: Eukaryota; Viridiplantae; Streptophyta; Magnoliopsida; Fabales; Fabaceae.